RNAcentral lists this ribosomal RNA (301 nucleotides) under uncultured bacterium. RNAcentral's name for it is "partial 16S ribosomal RNA". It matches the Rfam family "Bacterial small subunit ribosomal RNA", at positions 509 to 807 of the family's 1533-position model. The record is from RNAcentral.
CAGUCGCCACGGGAAUACAGAGGGUGCGAGCGUUAAUCGGAUUUGCUGGGCGUAAAGCGUGCGUAGGCGGCUUUUUAAGUCGGAUGUGAAAUCCCUGAGCUUAACUUAGGAAUUGCAUUCGAUACUGGGAAGCUAGAGUAUGGGAGAGGAUGGUAGAAUUCCAGGUGUAGCGGUGAAAUGCGUAGAGAUCUGGAGGAAUACCGAUGGCGAAGGCAGCCAUCUGGCCUAAUACUGACGCUGAGGUACGAAAGCAUGGGGAGCAAACAGGAUUAGAUACCCGCGUAGUCCCUGUCUCUUAUAC